RNAcentral lists this ribosomal RNA (777 nucleotides) under uncultured bacterium. Its description in RNAcentral is "bacterial SSU rRNA". It matches the Rfam family "Bacterial small subunit ribosomal RNA", at positions 624 to 1406 of the family's 1533-position model. The record is from RNAcentral.
CAGUUGAAACUGGCAGUCUUGAGUACAGUAGAGGUGGGCGGAAUUCGUGGUGUAGCGGUGAAAUGCUUAGAUAUCACGAAGAACUCCGAUUGCGAAGGCAGCUCACUAGACUGCAACUGACACUGAUGCUCGAAAGUGUGGGUAUCAAACAGGAUUAGAUACCCUGGUAGUCCACACAGUAAACGAUGAAUACUCGCUGUUUGCGAUAUACAGUAAGCGGCCAAGCGAAAGCAUUAAGUAUUCCACCUGGGGAGUACGCCGGCAACGGUGAAACUCAAAGGAAUUGACGGGGGCCCGCACAAGCGGAGGAACAUGUGGUUUAAUUCGAUGAUACGCGAGGAACCUUACCCGGGCUUAAAUUGCAUUUGAAUAAUCUGGAAACAGGUUAGCCGCAAGGCAAAUGUGAAGGUGCUGCAUGGUUGUCGUCAGCUCGUGCCGUGAGGUGUCGGCUUAAGUGCCAUAACGAGCGCAACCCUUAUCUUUAGUUACUAACAGGUUAUGCUGAGGACUCUAGAGAGACUGCCGUCGUAAGAUGUGAGGAAGGUGGGGAUGACGUCAAAUCAGCACGGCCCUUACGUCCGGGGCUACACACGUGUUACAAUGGGGGGUACAGAAGGCAGCUACCUGGCGACAGGAUGCUAAUCCCAAAAACCUCUCUCAGUUCGGAUCGAAGUCUGCAACCCGACUUCGUGAAGCUGGAUUCGCUAGUAAUCGCGCAUCAGCCAUGGCGCGGUGAAUACGUUCCCGGGCCUUGUACACGCCGCCCGUCAAGCCAUG